CCUUCGAUAGCUCAGCUGGUAGAGCGGAGGACUGUAGAGGCGCCGCCCGCCCGCGGGAAUCCUUAGGUCGCUGGUUCGAUUCCGGCUCGAAGGA
Struthio camelus australis is the source of this 94-nucleotide non-coding RNA. The record is from Rfam. NCBI's taxonomy places the organism in Eukaryota, Metazoa, Chordata, Aves, Struthioniformes, Struthionidae.